CCUACGGGAGGCAGCAGUGGGGAAUAUUGCACAAUGGGGGAAACCCUGAUGCAGCGACGCCGCGUGAGUGAAGAAGGAUUUCGGUAUGUAAAGCCCUAUCAGCAGGGAAGAAAAUGACGGUACCUGACUAAGAAGCCCCGGCUAACUACGUGCCAGCAGCCGCGGUAAUACGUAGGGGGCCAGCGUUAUCCGGAUUUACUGGGUGUAAAGGGAUCGUAGACGGCAGCACAAGUCUGACGGGAAAGGCGGGGGGCUAAACCCCGAACUGCUUUGGAAACUGUGUCGCUAGAGUGCAGGAGAGGUAAGUGGAAUUCCUAGUGUAGCGGUGAAAUGCGUAGAUAUUACGAGGAACACCAGUGGCGAAGGCGGCUUACCGGCGUGUAACUGACGUUGAGGCUCGAAAGCGUGGGGAGCGAACAGGAUUAGAUACCCCGGUAGUC
Molecule: ribosomal RNA, 440 nt
Filed under: uncultured bacterium
Lineage: Bacteria
Description: partial 16S ribosomal RNA
Rfam family: Bacterial small subunit ribosomal RNA
Source: RNAcentral